AAGCCAAACCGAGACAAUCAAGAUGAAUUGAUCUGAGAUUUGUAGUUGUAGGAUUCAGAGAAGUCCGAUGUCCAGCCUAUUGUUUUGAAUCUAAUAGCUUCAACCGAAUUUUAGGAGUAGAGAUUUUAACCUACUUAUAAAGUUUUUUAAGAGAGAGAGACGAGAUUGUGUGAGAGGGAUGGAGAGAGGGGAGUGGAAGUGAGGUGGGACUUAAUAGCGUUGAAAAAGAAAUUUUGGGCCUGGAACGAAUAAAUCACUUGUGUAUUCAUUUUAUAUUGUACGUGAAACACCUACAUAAGGGUAUGCAUAUAUUGGUUAACACUGUUUGUCAUGUUUUCAUUUUUCUCCCUGCACUUCCACUUGUCCAUGCCUAAUUUUCUGCACUUACAUGAUUUUCAGUUUCACUUGCUCAAUACACGAUUUGCUUUGCAGAUGGCAUCUUCACAACAAUUUGAGGGCCAUGCCCCAUUCAAAGAUCUGACCAACACCAACAGCCUAUCCUUUUAGGUGGCUUCACAAAUCGCAAGCUGGAGGAUGAAUGUAAUGGGGAGAUGUAAUGGGGAUGAGUAUUUUGGGAUAACUAGGCCUUAUGCUUUGCCAA
Sorghum bicolor (sorghum) is the source of this 601-nucleotide long non-coding RNA. RefSeq lists it as uncharacterized. The transcript has 2 exons. The record is from RefSeq and is a predicted model, not a curated record. Lineage: Eukaryota; Viridiplantae; Streptophyta; Magnoliopsida; Poales; Poaceae.